This 70-nucleotide small RNA is filed under the name Klebsiella pneumoniae. RNAcentral describes it as "partial RtT sRNA". It matches the Rfam family "RtT RNA", at positions 57 to 130 of the family's 130-position model. Rfam says of the family: This family represents a bacterial cis-regulatory element known as RtT RNA. The exact function of RtT is unknown although it is thought that it may be involved in changing the cellular response in relation to amino acid starvation. The record is from RNAcentral. Lineage: Bacteria; Pseudomonadati; Pseudomonadota; Gammaproteobacteria; Enterobacterales; Enterobacteriaceae.
GGGGGAUAACGUUGCGUAAGCAACGGCCCGAAGGGCGAGGCGUAGCCGACUCAUCCUCCCGGAUGCACCA